UACAAUCCCUAAAAUGUCGAAUUUCUCACAAAACAAAAAUUUUCAAAUUGCUAAUUACUUCCCAUUCCAAUCAUCAAAUGGCCGAGGAAGAGAACACAGAAGGGGCGAUCCGGCCCCAAUUUCCAACUGGAAGGGUCAAGAGAAUCGUGAAACUGGACAAAGACAUCAACAAAAUCAACUCAGACGCUUUAUUACUGGUUUCCCGAUCCACCGAGCUAUUUCUAAAAUUCCUCGCAGAGAAGUCGGCAGAAGUUGCAAUCGAGAAGAAGCGAAAGAUCGUGAAACUCGAUCACAUCCGAGUUGCCGUUAAGAGGCAUCAGCCAACCGGUGAUUUUCUUCUUGACUCGCUUCCCGUGACAACUCAGUUAUCCGAUAAACCACCAGCA
Molecule: unclassified non-coding RNA, 386 nt
Filed under: Hevea brasiliensis (rubber tree)
Lineage: Eukaryota; Viridiplantae; Streptophyta; Magnoliopsida; Malpighiales; Euphorbiaceae
Source: RNAcentral